AAGUCAUUUAGGAGGCAACACAACGUCUAUAUAAAGCUUUCCCGCUCGUCGUUCACUGGCGAAACAAGCUUUGGAUUCGAAUCCCUCUUCCCCAAAUUCUCCGCGUCUGUCAAUCUAGAAAUCUGCGACUACCAUGGAAACGUGCGACUUCGAUAGCUGGCAUCCAACCUUACCGGUGAAGUUCUCUCUUCUACAUUCUAUAUCCAUCUCGAGGGAUACUGGAGGAAUCAACACUGUGGGUAGUCUUAGUGGACCACAUAGCAGAGCUGUUAAUCUCUGACAUAGGUGUGGAUCACAUCAUUGAUAACUUUCCACGCUUCGUCUCCCAGUCGUUCAUCCUUAUUGAUUCGGAACCUCGUCGAAAAUCUUUUGCAGGUACGGCACCACUGUUUUCUUAGAGUUAUUUUAAGUGUGCUUGCAUCUAUCGUGGCCAAAACCUCGUCACCAUGACAAAACAAGUCUUACCGUUGUUACCGCUAUUUCAAGCAUCCAUCCAUCAUAUGGCAAACUAAAUGCAUUGCCUGUUAGUUUAUGGCUUCGAGGAUUACGGGCGUAACGUGAAGAGAUGGAGAACGACAUAGUUUAAUGUAAUUAUUGGCAUUGGUAUUAGGAUGUACAGUAUGAAUUACCGGUGGCUUGAUCUUGAUGCGAUGCAGGGUAGGGGAUAUGGAGAACACAUAGGGAAUGUAAGACUUAUUCUCACAGAUCGAAGAGGUAGUAAUUAAAUCCCUGGAGAUCUCGAUAUAGAUAUCGAGUGCGUUGCUAAUAAUGAUUUCCCUACGACUGCGUUGGACACACGUGUCGUGUCCGACAGACACAAGAUCCUGCAAUCGCCACUAUGCCGUGACACUUGCACUGCCGAGUGGGGGCCUGCAUGUGGUCCAUGUCUCGUGAUACCCAAUAGAAUAAGAACCUUGGUUACACCGCACCAGAGGAGAUGCGAGGCUUCGUACCAGCUGGUGUGCAGAAAAUUAAAGGUACAUGACCCAAUGAGCUUUUGGGAUAUGGACCUGCUUGUGAUCUAAUUGUCUCUCACUUUCACCUGUAAUUUCGGUUGGUCUGUGAUGUGGUCGAUCCAAUUGUUCAAUCACUUAACGUUAACCUCCAUAUCUGGAUUUGUUUUGGAGCGGCGAGGAAGAUUAUUAUCCAUCGUCCAAAAGUAUCAUCAAAACAGGGGAAAAGAGGUGCAUCCAUCUCUUUACCCUUGAUGGUGUGCUCACUGACUAGAUUUCUUUCUAGUUUGGCCUGUGAUGAACCUGUAGAUGAAUAUGAACUCGGUCGUGGAUAACAUGUUUUUAAAUAUAUUGGACCAGUAGAGUAGACAGAAGGUAUUUAUUAUUAAUAAAAAAAUAGAAAGCAAACAAUGCAAUCCACAAUCAGGAUAGGAACAGCCAUGAGAGUGACAGGAACAAAGCAGAACCAUUGGAAAGUUACGUUAGAUGCGAGUAAAACUGUUCAUUGUCAUUUGAGUUAUUUCAAUGUUCUAAUAGGUUUCUAAUGGAGUGCAAGAUAUCUGGUGUGGACUGGGACUGUCAGUGUGGCCCGGUUACCUAGAACCAAUCUUAGCCAAUGGGUGCAGAAGAAAUUUCUAUAAGAAUUUAUUUGGUCUUCAGUUUAGUUGAUUAUAUUGUAACAAGUAUACUUUGCUGCACCAUGGCUUAUUAUUUAAGGUUUUUUGUUCAUAAUAUUUGCUCCGAUUAUCUUUGCUUUUCUUUCUGGGUUCCAAGAAAUAUGUUCCGGACGUUGUAACUCUUUUCGUUACAAAUUUUGAUCAAUACGUCACAUUGUGUUUCAUUGGACAAAAUGUUAAUAAGACAAGUUUGGGGCUUUCCUUUUAUACAUCCAGUUUUGCAUGCUAAGAAAUUGGAUCCAACCAUGGUAAAUUCAUAUCCAUUAUUCACCUCUACUAUGGCAUCUCUCAGGCGGCCCAAGCACUAGGAGAAUCCUACUGCUUGCUUUUGUAUUGAGGUGAGACCUGUUACGGCCACGAGCCAG
Musa acuminata subsp. malaccensis (wild Malaysian banana) is the source of this 1995-nucleotide non-coding RNA. The record is from RefSeq and is a predicted model, not a curated record. Lineage: Eukaryota; Viridiplantae; Streptophyta; Magnoliopsida; Zingiberales; Musaceae.